AGAGGAGAUGCUGAACUGAAUUUCUAUAAGUAUGGUUUGAUUCCCACUGCACUGAUCUAGCUAGACUUUGAUGAUCUGCCUUUUUUCCUUACAGCACUGGCAAACACAUAAUGAGAGGAGUCAUAGCUGAAAUAUGCUGAUUCAGAUGAUUGUUGUUUUGCUUCAUAGGCAAGUCUGGGUUUUGGAGUGCCUAGGCCUACCUUUGUGGUUCCUAGAAAAUGAAACAAAGGUCAUAGACAUGGACUUCUUCAUAUAAGAAGAAUCAUUUGCCAGUGAAAGCUAGUUUGAUUUCUGUGUUGCUGCAGAGAACAAAGGGAUUGCACAAUUCAGGAGCUUAUGAAGCUUUGAAGCUGGCUCUUCAAGGUGUUAUUCACUACCGAGGAAAAAGAGAGAAUCCAGACGGAGGCCCGGAAGUUAGUUCCGGAAGUCGACGGGCAGCCCACCACCAAC
Molecule: long non-coding RNA, 450 nt
Organism: Carlito syrichta (Philippine tarsier)
Lineage: Eukaryota; Metazoa; Chordata; Mammalia; Primates; Tarsiidae
Exons: 3
Source: RefSeq, a predicted model, not a curated record